This 1366-nucleotide ribosomal RNA is filed under the name Stylosomus ilicicola. Its description in RNAcentral is "16S ribosomal RNA". The stretch from base 1069 to 1229 matches the Rfam family "Archaeal large subunit ribosomal RNA", at positions 2542 to 2701 of the family's 2987-position model. The record is from RNAcentral. Lineage: Eukaryota; Metazoa; Arthropoda; Insecta; Coleoptera; Chrysomelidae.
GUUACAAUUUAAUCUGAAGUAAAUUUGUUACUAAGUUUUGAAGAUUAGCGUUGAUUUUAUAUAAGAAUAUUAAAAUUUUAUUAAUUUUUUGAAAUAAUUCUUUUGUUAGUGAUAGUUAAAUGGUAUUGUGAAAGAUUAAAUUUUACUUGAUGAAAGAAAAAUUUAUUAUUUGUACCUUGUGUAUCAGGGUUGAUUAAAUUUAGUUAUAUGUAUGUAUAAAUCCCGAAUCUAGAAGAGCUAGUUUUAUAUUUUUUUAAUGUGUCAUAAUUAUUAUUAAUAUAGUCUUAGCAGUGAAACGUUAUUCGUUUUUAGAUAUAUCUGGUUUAUUGAGAAAUUAAUUCAAUUAGUUUAUCCAAGAAUAUAAUUUUUAGUUAUUAAUUUUAUAUUACGGUUAGAGAAAAUUAUUAGGGAAAGCUUAAUAGUUUAAAAUUAUUUAUUUUUAUCGUUGUCUUUAUAUAUAGGAUUGAAAGUUUCCAUUGUUGUUAGUGUGUUAUAACUUAUUUAGAAAAGACUAAUAUUUAUAUUAAUUAAUAAUUUUUUUAUCAAUAUGUUUGGUUAAUUUUAUUUUCUAUUGUAAUUAUGGUUAAAUUAGUAUAUAAAAUUGUAAAUUUAAUUACUAUAAAGAAAAUUAUAGAAAAGGAAUUCGGCAAAUUUUCUUUUCACCUGUUUAUUAAAAACAUGUCUUCAUGAGAAUAAUGUGAAGUUGGCCCUGCCCAAUGUUUAAUCAAUGGCCGCAGUAUUUUGACUGUGCUAAGGUAGCAUAAUCAUUAGUUUCUUAAUUAGAAUCUAGAAUGAAGGGGUUGAUGAAAAAGGAACUGUCUCUUUUAUAAUCAAUUAGAAAUUUAUUUUUAAGUUAAAAAGCUUAAAUGUUUUUAAAAGACGAGAAGACCCUAUAGAGUUUUAUAUAUAAAAAAUUCUAAGCUUAAGGUUAUUUAUUUGCUAAGAAUUCUUUAAUAUAUUUAAUUGGGGUGAUUAUGAAAUUUAAUUAACUUUCAUUGGUAAUUAAUAUAAAUAUAUAGAGAUAAAAUGAUCCAGUUUAUUCUGAUUUUAAGAUAAAAUUACCUUAGGGAUAACAGCGUAAUCUUUUUUUAGAGUUCUUAUCGAUAAAAGGGGUUGCGACCUCGAUGUUGGAUUAAAAUAUAUACCUAGGGGUAGGUUCUAGGAAAAUUAGGUCUGUUCGACCUUUAAAAUUUUACAUGAUCUGAGUUUAAACCGGCGUGAGCCAGGUUGGUUUCUAUCUUUAAAAUAUAAAAAAAUUUUAGUACGAAAGGACCAAGUUUUUAAUUAAUAAUUUAAUUGUUGAAUAUUAAUGUUAUUUUGGCAGAAUAGUGCAAUAGAUUUAGAAUCUUUUUAUAUAGCUUAAGCU